Dermacentor andersoni is the source of this 738-nucleotide long non-coding RNA. RefSeq lists it as uncharacterized. NCBI's taxonomy places the organism in Eukaryota, Metazoa, Arthropoda, Arachnida, Ixodida, Ixodidae. The record is from RefSeq and is a predicted model, not a curated record.
GUUGCUUAAGCUGCCGUGUCCGUUAAAGAUGACGUUACAGAGAAGGCGCGAUUCCUCGCUGAUAACUAUUUUGCGUCGUAGAACUGCGAUGAAAGUAAGCGUCACACAAACCGAGUUUCUCUUUCGUUACCUGGAUACGUCGUCUGCGAAUUCUAUCAAGUACGAGGAGCACUGUCUGGGGUACUCGUUCAAGCUGGCGCACCACUGUCGACGUGUGGGGCGCGGUAAGCCACACAGGUUUGGGACCACUAUAUCGAUUUCUAGAAAGAAUGACCUCUAAAACAUACAUGGACCUUUUAGAGCCAGUGCUCAUUCCGCACGUCCUUGAUGGCCCCUUCCCGGAUGGGCUCUACUGGUUUCAACCGGACAACGCCCGAAUUCACACAUCAAAGGAAGUGAAGCAGGUGCCGGACAACCUAGGUGUGACAAGGCUGAACUGGCCUGCGAGAAGUCCUGAUUUAAAUGUCAUAGAGAUUGUAUGGACAAUAAUAAAAUUAAGCAUAGCCAGAAAGGCAAGUGUAGCCAUAGCUAACGAUGACCAGCUUUGGUUAGCCAUUCAAGAGGAGUGGGACUGUCUCCGACAGGUGCCCUACCUCGUGAAUGAGCUCCAUGACUAGCUUCCCAUGAGGACCGCAAGAGCGAAACAGAAUAUUGAGGAACCCAUGUUCUAUGAGGCGAUAGGCGCUAUAGCCCGCUCCUGAUUUUCGCGUAAAUAAAGCAACUUUUUUUCUAUGCUUC